UCUCAGGGUAGGGUAGGGUAGUAUUAGGAAAUCUGGAAACCUAAAAUUUUUGGCGGUUUUUUAGGCUAGUUAGAGGAACCUGUUCUGUGAUAGAUGCUCCACGUUGGGUUUAACUUUUUCUAAGGUAUAUAUACCGCCGUCGUAAAGCAAUUUUUUUAGGGAUUGUUGUUGAAUCAGGGUUGAGGUGAUGACAGGUCAAGGUGUAGCUUAUGAUGAAGGGUGAGAUGGGUUACAAUAUUAGAUUGGUAUUUAUGGAUGUGAUAUUAGAGAAAUUUUUCAUUGAGAGUGGAUUUAAAAGUAAGAUUUUAAUUAAAAUGUGAGUUUGAUUUUAGCUCUAAAAGAUGU
Molecule: ribosomal RNA, 345 nt
Filed under: Damon annulatipes
Lineage: Eukaryota; Metazoa; Arthropoda; Arachnida; Amblypygi; Phrynichidae
Description: partial 12S ribosomal RNA
Source: RNAcentral